RNAcentral lists this long non-coding RNA (10908 nucleotides) under Nicotiana tabacum (common tobacco). RNAcentral describes it as "long non-coding RNA (NTAB_LNC009135)". The record is from RNAcentral. Lineage: Eukaryota; Viridiplantae; Streptophyta; Magnoliopsida; Solanales; Solanaceae.
CUGUACUGUGUUGGAAAUGUCCUGCAUUUGUUGUAGUAUUGUGACAUGGUUUAUGUAUUUUCUUACUGCUCAGCUUUCAUUUAGCUUCAUUACUUACUGAGUUGGCGUACUCACAUUACUCCCUGCACUUUGUGUGUAGAUUCAGGCAUUUCUGAACCCGGUAGCGGGUGUUGAUUGCUCAGUGGCAUAGUCAUUGGAGUUACCAAGGUAGCUUCCCGGCGUUCGCAUCCCUACUUCUACCUCUUAUCUUCCUUAGCCUGUUAUAAUUUAUUUUCAGACUCUUCGUUGUAUUCGAACUUUAGUAGAUGCCCGUGACUUGUGACACCCCGAUUUUAGGCUUGUGUAUUUAUUCUACACUGUUCACUUAGACUUACAUUUUGAGAUAUGUGAUUAGUUAAAGGCUUAAAAUGACUUUUUUUAUUAAAGGAUUAAUUCGGGAGUUGUGUCGCCUGACCUAGUUUCACGAUAGGCGCCAUCAUGACAAGGUCGGUUUUAGGGUCAUGACAUGCGGGGUCCUGAGUGAAGAAGGGGUCGAUGAUGCCGACCCAGUGGAUGCAGGUUCAAUCUUCGAGGAGGCUCAACGUCUUUGUUUAAUUGUAUGUUUUUAGCCACCCUGAUAUUUCUCCAAUGCCAUACUUUUCUACUUUUGUCUAAUUAAUCAUUCCUUUCUUUUGUGUAGGCCUUUGACAAAUUGAAGACCAAAUUGUGCCAUUGUGAAGUCGAAUUGUGUAGGGCUUCGAAUGAGGAUAAAACACUUAGGAUUCUCCUUGACAAAAAGGAGGAAGAACUGAAACAUCUCCGGUCGGAGCUGACCAAAACUCGUGAAUACGAGAGUGAGUUAGAAAAGCAAGUAACCUCUGUUCUGAAAAAAUACAGGCUACCUCUCCCAUCACUAAUACUUCAAUGUCUCAGCUACAGUAAAAGCUAGAUAUGAUCGGACAACUCCGGGGCGAGGUCGAUCAAAUUCGAGCCGAAUGGAAUGAAUAGAAAAAAAAAGAUAGACGCCCUCGUUGUGGCUAAAAAUGAUGCGUUGGUGAGGGUAUCAGCCCUCGAGGUUCAACUUCGAAACGCUCAAGGGAGCAACUUGGUUCAAGCUAGCAGAAUAGCUGAGCUCGAGGCUGGUCUUGCGAAGGUCAAGGCUGAAGUGGUGGAAGUCAAGGCCAAAGUGGUGGAAGUCAAGGCCGAAGCCAGCGUAAUACAGGCCAAGGCCGACAGGACGGUGGCCAUCUAUUCGAAAGAUGCUACCGAUGCUCAGAUGGAGUUGAGGGAGGCUUCAAAUUGAGAAAAAAAAAAGCAAUGACUAUGUCCGACAUUGAUCUCGAAGGGAGACCAUUGAGGAGAUUCAUGCUAAGGGCUUUGAUCUUUCCGAGGAGAUAAAGCAAGCUAAGGUAGAUGAGGUUGAUUCCAUAGUCAUUUCCUCUGAUGACGAUGAUGACGCCGAAGAUGAUGACAGGGAGGGGGCUACCGAAGAAGUUACCCCCGGAGAAGAGGCUGGUCUCGGGGAAAUGACAGGUCGGGGGGGGGGGGGAAUGUCCCUCUGGAGUAGGAAGAAUUUUUUCUAUCUUUUUGUAAUUUUUUGCUUUGUAGGACCCCCGUGUAAUAUCUUUUUGUAUAUAUAAAAAGAAGAUUCCUUGAUCGUUUGCCCUUAAUUUUUCUUCAGCAUUUGUUAAAAUUUUUAUGCUCUAACCUCUGAGUGUUGAAUCAAAUUCGGGGUAGAGUAGACCCUCAAAUCUUUGUAUUUUGAUCAACAAUUGAUAAUAGGCUACCACUUAAGGUUUGAUCUUCAAGCUAAGUUUUAGCUCGAGACUUUUGAGUCCGAUCUGGGUAAAGUCUUCGAGCAUAGUAUGUUUCGGCCUUAAAGAUCUUUAAAUAUUGGCCCUUAAGGUCUUUUAGGUUGGACCUUAGGCACUUUUAGGUCGGUCCUUAGGCUCUUUAGGUGGGGCCAAUUCGGCCUCUAAAAUGGCUAUAAAUGUUUUCCCUCAUUUCGGCUAAAAGACUUAGUGACAUUUUAUUUAUGCCUUAGCAUGUGUUUUUGUACCCGUUGGGUUUUCCGAAGGCUCGACAUAUCGGAACCUUAUUAAUCAUUUCGUUUGUGUAGGCAUGAUCGAAUACCUCUUAAGGUCUUUUCGAAGGCUGGUGUUAUCGAAGCGUUUGGAUUAUUCGAGGGCUGAAUUUAUUGAAGCCCUUAGAUUUUUUGGGGGCCGAAUUUAUCGAAGCCCCUUAUAUUUUGCUUUUGCCGAGGGUAGCCUGACUUAACCAAUUUUUUAAUAUUUGAAGUCCUUUAAUUUUAUUGUGAAAGUCAGACGUCUACGAAUCACAUUAUUUUGGUCGUAGCCUUUAUGUGACCGUAGUCUUUAGUAUGGCCGAAGUCUUCGGGUUUGUCACUUGGACUUGUUUCCCCAAAAACUUUCCAAACUUGUUCGAAGAGUUAGUCUCCGAGUAUAUUGGCCUCGAAGGGGGUGCCUCUUUGAGGUUUUAUGAGUCCGAAUUUUCGAUGACUCAGAUGUAUUGGCUGUCAGUGAUAGUCCCCAGAUACAUCGGGGUGCUUUGGCCCUUGAGCCACUUCCCGUAGGAUUGCAAGUGUAGAGCUCGUAUUAUAGCAAACUUCUUUGAGAUACAAAGUAUUUUCGAUAUAACCAGAAUGCUUCUUUAAAUAGUUGAUACAUGCGUACAUGUUUUGUCGUGGGGCUCGACUAUUCUAUAUAAACAAGGUUCAUUUGACCAUUUGGCCCAUUACAAAGUUCUCCUAUCGAGGCCCUCUUAGGCGUGAGGUAUCUUUCUCAAAAGUAUAUCCUCCGGGGGUGAUGCCCCUAGUAUUCGAGGUUGAUUGAAAAGAAGCCUUGAAUAUUUGUUGAAUGUUCCUUAGGUAGCAUAUGGUGUUGCCUCAUUAAAAACCUUGCCAGUAAAACCCAUUUGGGAUAAAACUCGAUCUAAGGGAAAAAGAGUGCAACGCAUGCUUUCAAACCCAAGGUCUUCGAGCUGAAAGGUGCCUCGAUAUCUCCAACUAAACAUCUGCAAGGAGUUAGUUUUAAAUACAAAAGGAAAAGGGGAGAAGGUCAUACCUCAGUAGUAAUAUCGCUUGAGCAACGAUACAUUCGAAUUGUUUGGUAGUUGCUCGCCUUCCAUUGUGCUAAGUUUGUAGGAUCCUUUCCCUACGACUCCGAGGACACGGUACGGUCCUUCCCAAUUAGGACAUAGUUUCCCUUCGUUUGGGUCUCGAGUGUUAAAAGUGACUUUUUUCAGGACUAAGUCUCCGACUUUGAAAUAUUGAAGGUUCGUCCUUCUAUUGUAAUACCUUUCGAUCCUUUGUUUUUGCACGACCAUUCAAAUUAUCGCGACCUCUCGUUUUUCAUCGAGUAGUUCGAGAGAAGUGUUCAUAGCUUCGUGAUUUGAACUCUCGGUGGCAUGCUGAAACCUGACGCUAGGUUCCCCGACUUCGAUUGGGAUCAAUGCUUUGGAUCCGUAUACCAAAGAAAAUGGGGUCUCCCCCAUGCUCGAAUUCGACGUUGUUCAAUAUGCCUGUAGCACUUCGGCAAACACUUCUCUCCAUUUCCCCUUUGCAUCAUCUACCCUUUUUUUAAGUUUUGAAUGAUGGUUUUGUUAGAGGACUCGGCCUGACCAUUUGCACUUGGGUGGUAAGGUGCUGAUAGGAUCCUUUUGAUUUUACGGUCCUCAAGAAAUUUUGUUACUUUACUGCCGAUGAAUUGUUUCCCAUUGUCACAUGCUAUUUCGUAGGUAUCCCGAACCGACAUAUAAUGUGGUCUCAUAUGAAGCCGAUGACUACUUUUUCUCUUACCUUCUCGAAGGCCUGCGCUUCAACCUACUUCGAGAAGUAGUCAGUCAUAAACAAAAUAAAUCUAGCUUUACUUGGCGCCAUUGGUAGGGGGACGACAAUGUCCAUCCCCCUUUUCAUGAAUGGCCAUUGGUAUAGGACCGAAUAGAACUUCAUUGGGUUGAUGGAGCAUCGGUGCAAAUCUUUGGCAUUUAUCACACUUUCGAACAAACUUCUUGGUAUCCUUUUCCAUGCUAUCCCAAUAAUACCCUACUCUUAUCACCUUGCGAACCAGAGAGUCUGCACCAUAAUAGUUCCACAAGUACCCUCGUGGAUUUCGCAUAAUACAUAAUCGGUGUCCCCGGGUCCCAAGUACACUGCUAGUGGUCAGUCGAAGGUUCUUUCGUACAACGUUCCAUUUUCAUCGAGUGAGAAUCGAGCUGCUUUGGCUUGAAGUGUUCUUGACUCUUUUGGGUCCUCGGGGAGCUUCCCAUGCCUCAAGUAGUUGAUGUACUUAUUCCUCCAAUCACAUGUUAAAUUUAAUGUUUCCUCGGUACUGGAUGACUUAUAGUCUAUGAUGUAUAUAUAUUUCGGGAUGGAUCUUCCCUGGGCCGAAUGGGCCAUAUACAGUACCGAGUGGUUGAGCACUGUGAGUGGACGUAUUAUAAAUAAUAUUGAUCAUGGUAUCUGUGCAUUGGUACUUAGAGGUUCCUGAGCUUCAUACUCUGUAUCAUUCAUAUUGUGUUUAAUUACUGCUGAGAAACUGAAUGAACUGUAAGCAUGUCUACUUUUUCGUACAAUUAACUGUUGCAACCUGUUGAGGUUUGGUCCGUCACUACCGUCAGUCCAUAGUUUGGACUUGUUACUUACGGAGUUGGUGUACUCACGUUACCCCCUGCACCUCUGUGUGCAGAUCCAGGUAUCUCGGGGCACGACAGCGGCUGUUGAUCACACCAGUUGGAGACUUUCUGGGGAGAUUUCGGGUAGCUGCUUGGCGACCACAGUUUUGCCUUCUCCUUUCCCUAUCUUCCUUUAGUAUAUUUAUUUGGAUAUUCUCAGACCGUGUUGGUCAUGUUAUUUCGAACAGAUGUAGUAGUUUUAGCUCAUGACUUAGUGACACCCGAGGUCGGGAUUGUGUUUCUUUCCACUGGAUUUUGAUUUCUACUUUUAUCUUAUUGAAUUUCUGUUAAAAUUAUGAUUUUCUUAAGUUGUUUUAUGUGAAAAAUGGAGUAUUUGGAAAUAAGUGUCUUGCCUAGUAUCAUGAUAGGCACCAUCACGACAUAGUUAGAUUUUGGGUAGUGACAGGCGCCUAUCGUGAAACUAGGCCGGCCAACUUACUUCCAAAUACUCUAGAUUUCAUUUAAUACUUAACUAAAAUCAUGUUUUUGACAGAAAUUCGAUAAAAGAUAUAAAGUAAAAUCAAAACAAUACGGAAAAUACCNNNNNNNNNNNNNNNNNNNNNNNNNNNNNNNNNNNNNNNNNNNNNNNNNNNNNNNNNNNNNNNNNNNNNNNNNNNNNNNNNNNNNNNNNNNNNNNNNNNNNNNNNNNNNNNNNNNNNNNNNNNNNNNNNNNNNNNNNNNNNNNNNNNNNNNNNNNNNNNNNNNNNNNNNNNNNNNNNNNNNNNNNNNNNNNNNNNNNNNNNNNNNNNNNNNNNNNNNNNNNNNNNNNNNNNNNNNNNNNNNNNNNNNNNNNNNNNNNNNNNNNNNNNNNNNNNNNNNNNNNNNNNNNNNNNNNNNNNNNNNNNNNNNNNNNNNNNNNNNNNNNNNNNNNNNNNNNNNNNNNNNNNNNNNNNNNNNNNNNNNNNNNNNNNNNNNNNNNNNNNNNNNNNNNNNNNNNNNNNNNNNNNNNNNNNNNNNNNNNNNNNNNNNNNNNNNNNNNNNNNNNNNNNNNNNNNNNNNNNNNNNNNNNNNNNNNNNNNNNNNNNNNNNNNNNNNNNNACUAUAUAGUCUGAGAAUAGCCAACAAAUACACUAAGAAGAAGAUAAGGAAGGAGAAGGCGGGACUGCGAUCGCCAAGCAACUACGUUGCUAUAUCUAAGGAAAAAUUCCACCACUGAAAUGAUCAGCAACUGCUACCGUGGCCCGAGAUACCUGGAUCUGCACACAAGGCGCAGGGGGUAACGUGAGCACACCAACUCAGUAAGUAACAAGUCCAAGCUAUGGACUGACAGGUAGUGACAAACCAAACCUCAACAGGAAAUAUCAUUAAACUGUACAGAAAAGUAGACAUGCUUGCAGUUCAAGUAAAAACUCAACAGUAAAUAAAUGCAGCCUAAACGGUACGGAGUAUAAGGCUCAGGAAAUCUCUAUGUACUAAUGCACAGAUAGCAUGAUCAAUGUUUCAUGUACCUCCACUCACAAGUGCUCAACCACUCGGUACUGUAUAUGGCCGUCUGUCCAGGGAAGAUCCAUCUCGGAAUAUAUAUAUCACUGAUCGCAGUCAUCUAGUAUCGAGGAAGGCUAUUCUAGCCUUGUGGAGAAGAUCCAUCUCCAGGUUUAAAUACUUCGGACAAGAUCCAUGUCUAGGGAAGAUCCAUCCCUCAAUAUGAUCAACUGCGCUCACUGGGGUGUGUUACAGACUCCGGAGGGGCUCCUACAACCCAAGCGCUAUCAUAAUCAUCAACAUAACCACUGCGGCGUGCAGCCCGAUCCCAUAUACUAUCACUCACAACCAGGCUCUCGACCUCACUCAGUCAUCACUCUCCAGUCUCACACACACGGGUUCACAAUGUCAUGAUACUAGCCCGAACAAUGAUAUGAUGUGCCAAAUAACAAUAAUCAAUACUGAGACAUGAUAUAUAAUGCAUGAACAUGACAAAGUAUAGAAUAUCAAUGAAGAUAAUGAUAUGACAACACGAAACGACCUCUCGUGUCUCAACAGUAUCGGUGUGAAGCCCUAACAGGAUAUCUAGCAUGGUUUCACAACACAUUUACUUAGUCACACGAUAGAAACACGGAUAUCAACAAGAAAGAGUUACUAAGUGGUGCCACGGAAUGAUCCAGGCCGCAAUUCUCACGGUGCACGCCCACACGCCCGUCACUUGGCAUUUGCGUCACUUCAAUAGCAAUCAUAGAAUACAUAGUUCGGGGUUUCGAAUCCUCAGAACCAAGUUUGGAAGCGUUACUUACCUCAAGCCAAGCCAAACUCUAACCCGCGACGCCCUUGCCUCUCGAUUUGGCCUCCAAAUGCUUCGAAUCUAACCAAAAUCAGUAUAUCAUCAUCAAUAUACGCUAAAGGAAUGAAACCCAUACGAAAAUUAUCAAUUUAACUCAAAAUCCCGAAAUUGGCCUAACCCUACCCCCGGGCCCACGUCUCGGAAUACAAUAAAAAUCACAAAACUGGAAAACCCAUUAGCUCACAAGCCUACUUAUAUCAAAUUCAUCAAAAUACGACGUCAAAAGGUCAUCCAAAUCCCAAAAAUCCAUUCUCCAAUUUUUCUUCCAUUUUCCCCAAUUUUACCCCAAAUUCUCAAAUUAAAUGAUAAGAUUCAAGGCAUAAUUAUGGAAUUUAGCCCAAAACAAGUGAAGAACACUUACCUCAAUCACUUCUCUGAAAAUCCUAUCUAAAUUCACCUUUCUCCCGGGCUCUCUAAUGAGUUUUUGAAAAUAUGAACUAAACCCUCAUUUCUGAACUUAAAGAUUCUGCCCAAACGCUUCCAUCUUCGCGAACGCGAUCAAAGCCUCGCGUUCGUGAAGCACAAAAAUCACUGCCCAAUUAUUCCUCUUUCGCGAACGCGACUUCCUUCAAGAGAACGCAAAGCUUCAGCUGCCCAAGCCUUCGCAAAUGCGACCCUACCUACGCGAACGCAAUGCACAAACUCUUGGGGUCCCAGCUGCUCCAAUUUACCCUACACGAAUGCGACUCCUCUCACGCGUUCGUCAUUCACUGGAAUCCAAACCUAUGUGAAUGCGUCCUUUGACUCGCGAACGCGAAGAGAAUUUUAUCCCCUAGACCCAGCUCUUCUUCGCGAACGCGGGACAAUCUUCGCGAAUGCGAAGAACAAAUUCUUAUGCAACAAAAACCAGCAAAAUCUGCAACUCUCCAAAACCAACAAUUGGUCCGUUAACCACCCGAAACUCACAUGAGGCCCUUGGGACCUCAACCAAGGAUGUCAACACAUCCCAUAACAUCAUUCAAACUUGUUCCAACCUUCGAAACACUCAAAACAAUGUCAAAACAUCAUAUCACCCUCGGAUUCAAGCUUAAGAAUUCCAAAUCUUUCGAAUCCCGCAACCGAUAAAAGUCUACCAACCUCAUCCGAAUGACCUAAAAUUUUGCACACACGUCCCAAAUGACACAACAGACCUACUCCAAUUUUUGGAAUUCCAUUCUGAACCCUAUAUCAAAAUUUCCACUGCCGACCGAAAAAAUGCCAAAUUUUCAAUUUCGCUAAUUCAAGCCUAAAUCUUCCACAGACCUCCAAAACACAUUCCGAUCACGCUCCUAAGUCCCAAAUCACCUAACGAAGCUAUAUGAACCAUCAGAAUUCACAUCCGAGACCUUCUACCCAUAAGUCAACAUCCGGUUGGCUUUUCCAACUUAAGCUUACUCAAAAGAGACUAAGUGUCUCAUUCCUCUACAAAACCACUCCGAACUCGAACCAACUAACCCGAUACCACAUAAUACAGCUAAACAAGACAUAAAGAAGCAGAAAUGGGGGAAACAGAGUGGUAGCUCAUGAAAUGACCGGUUAGGUCGUUACAGAAUCAAACUCGCGUAGUUCGUCCAGCUUUGACGGACCAGAGGAAAAUAUGAAUUUUUGAAAACAUCGGCUUAUUUUCUUUCUCUUUUUUUUUUUCAAAAUUUUGGCGGAGUUUCGGAAAUUUUCAAAUAUCUACCUCUCACUCUUGGUUUUUUGAUUUCCCUUUUUUUCUUUUUCUUUUUAUUUGAUUUCUUUCCCUAUUCUAGAAGCCAGUCAACAUACAAGGCCAAAAAAAAAAUACGCUAGUAGCACGUAAUAUGCAUCAGGAUGGUCUUUUCAAUUUGGGUACACAUGUCCUAGACGGACCCAACCACUAUGUUGAGUACCCAAAGUCAAAUGCACGUGAUGCAAACAAGCGUUCCUACUAGGGAUCUGGUAUGAGGCCAUGUUACUCUAGGUUUAAAACCUAGGUGUAUUGUUCUAGACCUGGCUUAUACGAGCGAACAACUCGAGCCAGGGGGGCAGCGUACCGGUACCCAAACGAUCAUCCACCUUUGAAACUUGUCUAAUCCUCUUCUAAGUUAGGGAUAUGAUUCUAACAGAAAAAAAAGUCACGCCAGGGUGCAUUUCCCAGAAGAUUUAGAAGACUCAGAGAGAAGAAGGGUUUCAUAACAGUUUAUAUACAGUUCACACAAUAUCAAAGUGAAAAGCGACAUUUAGCACAUUAGGCUCAAACACAUAAAAAAUCAGAUAAUGAACAAAAUCCAACUAUAACAAUUAUUCUAAGCUUUAAUUUUGAACCAUGAAUCAGAUGUUCUGGGUAAUAUCCUAAAUAGAGUCGUCAGAGCUAUCACGCAACCUUUUUCCUGAGGGGAUAGGGAGUUUUUCCAAUUUAAAUGACACUAAUCAAAAUGGAAUUAUUUAUUUAUUCAGAAUCGCCACUUGGGAUGAUUAUAUGGUGUUCCAAGUCACCAGUUUAUUUUAAAUUCCAAAUCGAGGAAGUUUUAACUCUAAUUUACUGCCCCCGAAACACAGAAAUCCGGACAAGAAAUUCUGUUAACCCGAGCGAAGGUGUUAGGCAUUCCCAGGUUCCGUGGUUUUAGCACGGUCGCUCAACUAUUAAUAAUUGGCCUAAUUACCUGAUUCAUUACGUAUUUAAAUCCUAUUAUGCAUUUUAACAUUUUAACCGCUUUUAAUUAUUUAUGAGAUUUGUUUGAAAAAAUCGCGAUGUCGUGUACUCGUUUGCUUUGUACAUAUUGCGAAUCGUGUCAAGGAAACCGUAUCCACGAUCCACAACAUGUUUAAUUUUAUUAUUGUUCAAAGUUAUAAGACAGUCACAUAAAAUGCACACCCGAAUUAGGAUUACAUAUCGUGACCAUGCCACGGGAAUCGUACCCAUAAUCACGAUGAUUUUAUUGAUCGCGCCUAAAGCAAGCUACGAUGAUUCAUAAGAUUAUUUCCUGAACUAGUGUUGUUGUUAUUGGGCUUACAGUGGAUCAGUUGGCCCAUAAAUAUCAGAAACUAAGUUUUAAUUGUUCAAUUAAGAGAAACAUCCAGAUAAGAACAAACUAAAUAGAAGGAAGCAAAAUGCCAAAAUCAACAAGAAAUAAAAUCUCACCAAUAUCAUAUGAAUCAAGUUCAACACAUACACCAUUUUUACUGUCUUUAAUGGUUUAAAGCUCAAAUUCCUAAAUUAUUUUUUACCAUGUUAAACCACGAUACAUAAAUAUUAUUAGAAGCAGCAAUUAGAAAAGCUAAUAAUGAAACCAUAGGAAAAUUUCAUCCAAAUACAUAAUACUUCAAAGCCAUUCAUUAACUAGAAAUAAGGUAAGUUAAAACUGGACCUCUCACUGUAGCAAAUUUCUUUGAGAAUUGAAUAAUGGAUCACCCUGAAGCAAACAGCGGUACAACAAAUGCUCUGUUCCAAAUGAACGUGCAACAGUAAGCUCCGAUAAAAUUUGUCUCAAAAUUGAACCGUGACCGGAGCUAGAACAGAAAACUUGUCGCCGACGAGCUCGAGUACAGAGCUUCACGGGAUUAAUGGAGGAUUUUGGAGCAGUUUUCUCCGCGAAAUUGGCAGCAAUUUGAGCUGUUGUUUGUGAACAUUUUGGGACUAUUUUGUCAGUGUUUUGGGGAGCUGCUUUCAGUGUUUCUGGGUGAUGACAAUGGCUGUGUUUAUUGUACGUAUUUGGGAAAAUUUAGAGCUAUUUUGAGGUGUAAACAUGAGAAGGAGAAGAAAACUAGUUGUUCUCCAAAAGAACAAAGAAGAAGGCGUUGAUGCCCAACUUUCUUUUUAGAGCUCUAAGUUUCUUUUCAUUUUUUUGGCCCUGUUUCUUUUGCUGCUUUUGCAUCCCUUUUCUACUUUUCAGAUCGGUUUUUUGCCCCUUUUUUGUGUUCUGUGUGUUUUUCUUUUUCUUUUGUCAUAUGGGGUUGUAAUUUUUGAAGAAGAAGAAGAAGGAGUUCCUAUGGUGGGGUGCAGCUGACCUCUCCUCAAU